CGCCUUGCCAGCCCGCUCAGAACUUAAAGGAAUUGACGGGGGCCCGCACAAGCGGUGGAGCAUGUGGUUUAAUUCGAUGAUACGCGAGGAACCUUACCUGGGCUCAAAUGUAUGUUGACGUAUUCUGAAAGGGAUACUUCUUCGGACAAUAUACAAGGUGCUGCAUGGUUGUCGUCAGCUCGUGCCGUGAGGUGUCGGGUUAAGUCCCAUAACGAGCGCAACCCCUAUCAUUAGUUGCCAUCAGGUCAAGCUGGGGACUCUAAUGAAACUGCCUACGCAAGUAGUGAGGAAGGUGGGGAUGACGUCAAAUCAGUACGGCCCUUACGUCCAGGGCUACACACGUGCUACAAUGGCCGGUACAAAGGGCAGCUACCUGGUGACAGGAUGCUAAUCUCAAAAGCCGGUCUCAGUUCGGAUCGGGGUCUGAAACUCGACUUCAUGAAGUUGGAAUCGCUAGUAAUCGCGCAUCAGCAUGGCGCGGUGAAUACGUUCCCGGGCCUU
Molecule: ribosomal RNA, 501 nt
Filed under: uncultured Sphingobacteriales bacterium
Lineage: Bacteria; Pseudomonadati; Bacteroidota; Sphingobacteriia; Sphingobacteriales
Description: bacterial SSU rRNA
Rfam family: Bacterial small subunit ribosomal RNA
Source: RNAcentral